AUUGAACGCUGGCGGCAUGGCUAAGACAUGCAAGUCGAGCGCGAAAGUCCCUUCGGGGGCGAGUAGAGCGGCGAAAGGGUGAGUAAUGCGUUCCUACGUACCCCCUGGUCCGGGGAUAGCCGGCCUAACGGCCCGGGUAAUACCCGAUGUGGUCUCCGGAUCAAAGGCUUCGGUCGCCAGGGGAGCGGGGAACGUCCUAUCAGGUUGUUGGUGAGGUAAAGGCUCACCAAGCCAAAGACGGGUAGCGGGGUGUGAGAGCAUGACCCCGCCACAUCGGGACUGAGACACUGCCCGGACUCCUACGGGAGGCUGCAGUAAACAAUAUUCCGCAAUGCGCGAAAGCGUGACGGAGCAAUGCCGCGUGCAGGAUGAAGCCCUUCGGGGUGUAAACUGCUGUCAGGGUCUAGGAACACAAUGACCAGACCCAAAGGAAGGGCCGGCUAACUUCGUG
Molecule: ribosomal RNA, 451 nt
Filed under: uncultured bacterium
Lineage: Bacteria
Description: bacterial SSU rRNA
Rfam family: Bacterial small subunit ribosomal RNA
Source: RNAcentral